AGGCAGCCUCCUUGUCAAAAGUUAAAACAAUGACAUGUAAGAGGUGUUUAAUUACUCCUACAAUGAACUCUUGUUUCUGCUCUUCAGACUUGCUGAGAUAUUUUUAUGUCUUUGAAGCUGGUCUAGUAGUCUUGAGCACAUU
Molecule: small nucleolar RNA, 142 nt
Organism: Capsella rubella
Lineage: Eukaryota; Viridiplantae; Streptophyta; Magnoliopsida; Brassicales; Brassicaceae
Rfam family: Small nucleolar RNA snoR77
Source: Rfam